GAAACUGCGAAUGGCUCAUUAUAUAAGUUAUCGUUUAUUUGAUAGUGCCUUACUACAUGGAUACCUGUGGUAAUUCUAGAGCUAAUACAUGCUAAAAAUCCCGACUUCGGAAGGGAUGUAUUUAUUAGAUUAAAAACCAAUGCCCUCUGGGCUCUCUGGUGAUUCAUGAUAACUCCUCGAAUCGCACGGCCUUGCGCCGGCGAUGGUUCAUUCAAAUUUCUUCCCUAUCAACUUUCGAUGUUUGGGUAGUGGCCAAACAUGGUGGCAACGGGUAACGGAGGGUUAGGGCUCGACCCCGGAGAAGGAGCCUGAGAAACGGCUACUACAUCCAAGGAAGGCAGCAGGCGCGCAAAUUACCCAAUCCCGAUUCGGGGAGGUAGUGACAAUAAAUACUGAUACAGGGCUCUUUUGGGUCUUGUAAUUGGAAUGAGUACAAUUUAAAUCUCUUAACGAGGAACAAUUGGAGGGCAAGUCUGGUGCCAGCAGCCGCGGUAAUUCCAGCUCCAAUAGCGUAUAUUAAAGUUGUUGUGGUUAAAAAGCUCGUAGUUGAACCUUGGGCCUGGCUGGCCGGUCCGCCUCACCGCGUGCACUGGUCCGGCCGGGUCUUCCCUCUGUGGAACCACAUGCCCUUCACUGGGCGUGGCGGGAAAACAGAACUUUUACUUUGAAAAAAUUAGAGUGCUCCAGGCAGGCCUUUGCUCGAAUACAUUAGCAUGGAAUAAUGAAAUAGGACGUGCGGUUCUAUUUUGUUGGUUUCUAGGACCGCCGUAAUGAUUAAUAGGGACAGUCGGGGGCAUCAGUAUUCAAUAGUCAGAGGUGAAAUUCUUGGAUUUAUUGAAGACUAACUACUGCGAAAGCAUUUGUCAAGGAUGUUUUCAUUAAUCAGGAACGAAAGUUAGGGGAUCGAAGACGAUCAGAUACCGUCGUACUCUUAACCAUAAACUAUGCCGACUAGGGAUCGGACGACGUUAAUUUUUGACUCGUUCGGC
This 989-nucleotide ribosomal RNA is filed under the name Purpureomyces khaoyaiensis. RNAcentral describes it as "SSU rRNA". It matches the Rfam family "Eukaryotic small subunit ribosomal RNA", at positions 83 to 1084 of the family's 1831-position model. The record is from RNAcentral. Lineage: Eukaryota; Fungi; Ascomycota; Sordariomycetes; Hypocreales; Clavicipitaceae.